This 345-nucleotide unclassified non-coding RNA is filed under the name soil metagenome. RNAcentral describes it as "partial contains 5.8S ribosomal RNA, internal transcribed spacer 2, and large subunit ribosomal RNA". The stretch from base 1 to 120 matches the Rfam family "5.8S ribosomal RNA", at positions 35 to 154 of the family's 154-position model. The record is from RNAcentral.
GAUGAAGAACGUAGCGAAAUGCGAUAAGUAAUGUGAAUUGCAGAAUUCAGUGAAUCAUCGAAUCUUUGAACGCACAUUGCGCCCGCCGGUAUUCCGGCGGGCAUGCCUGUUCGAGCGUCAUUUCAACCAUCAAGCCCUGGGCUUGUGUUGGGGACCUGCGGCUGCCGCAGGCCCUGAAAUGCAGUGGCGGGCUCGCAAGACACACCGAGCGUAGUAGCUUACAACCUCGCUUUGGGAGUGCUGCGGGUGCUGGCCGUAAAGCGACCUUUUGCGUCUUUAGCACUAGGUUGACCUCGGAUCAGGUAGGAGGACCCGCUGAACUUAAGCAUAUCAAUAAGCGGAGGA